RNAcentral lists this ribosomal RNA (495 nucleotides) under uncultured bacterium. RNAcentral's name for it is "partial 16S ribosomal RNA". It matches the Rfam family "Bacterial small subunit ribosomal RNA", at positions 28 to 507 of the family's 1533-position model. The record is from RNAcentral.
GACGAACGCUGGCGGCGUGCCUAAUACAUGCAAGUAGAACGCUGAAGGAGGAGCUUGCUCUUCUGGAUGAGUUGCGAACGGGUGAGUAACGCGUAGGUAACCUGCCUGGUAGCGGGGGAUAACUAUUGGAAACGAUAGCUAAUACCGCAUAAGAGUAGAUGUUGCAUGACAUUUACUUAAAAGGUGCAAUUGCAUCACUACCAGAUGGACCUGCGUUGUAUUAGCUAGUUGGUGGGGUAACGGCUUACCAAGGCGACGAUACAUAGCCGACCUGAGAGGGUGAUCGGCCACACUGGGACUGAGACACGGCCCAGACUCCUACGGGAGGCAGCAGUAGGGAAUCUUCGGCAAUGGACGGAAGUCUGACCGAGCAACGCCGCGUGAGUGAAGAAGGUUUUCGGAUCGUAAAGCUCUGUUGUAAGAGAAGAACUAGUGUGAGAGUGGAAAGUUCACACUGUGACGGUAUCUUACCAGAAAGGGACGGCUAACUACGUG